UGCUGGACGUAUCAGAAGUGCGAAUGCUGACAUAAGUAACGAUAAAACGGGUGAAAAACCCGUUCGCCGGAAGACCAAGGGUUCCUGUCCAACGUUAAUCGGGGCAGGGUGAGUCGGCCCCUAAGGCGAGGCUGAAAAGCGUAGUCGAUGGGAAACGGGUUAAUAUUCCCGUACUUGGAUAAACUGCGAUGUGGGGACGGAGCAGGUUAGGUUAUCGCACUGUUGGAUAUGUGCGUUUAAGUUGGUAGGUGUGAAGUUUAGGCAAAUCCGGACUUCUUUAACACCGAGAGAUGAUGACGAGGCUCUACGGAGCUGAAGUAACCGAUACCACACUUCCAGGAAAAGCCACUAAGCUUCAGGUUUAUCUAAACCGUACUGAAAACCGACACAGGUGGUCAGGUAGAGAAUACUCAGGCGCUUGAGAGAACUCGGGUGAAGGAACUAGGCAAAAUAGCACCGUAACUUCGGGAGAAGGUGCGCCGGCGUAGAUUGUAGUCCCUUGCGGGCGAAGGUUGAACCGGUCGAAGAUACCAGCUGGCUGCAACUGUUUAUUAAAAACACAGCACUCUGCAAACACGAAAGUGGACGUAUAGGGUGUGAUGCCUGCCCGGUGCUGGAAGGUUAAUUGAUGGUGUAAUCGAAAGAGAAGCUCCUGAUCGAAGCCCCAGUAAACGGCGGCCGUAACUAUAACGGUCCUAAGGUAGCGAAAUUCCUUGUCGGGUAAGUUCCGACCUGCACGAAUGGCAUAAUGAUGGCCAGGCUGUCUCCACCCGAGACUCAGUGAAAUUGAAAUCGCCGUGAAGAUGCGGUGUACCCGCGGCUAGACGGAAAGACCCCGUGAACCUUUACUAUAGCUUGACACUGAACAUUGAAUUUUGAUGUGUAGGAUAGGUGGGAGACUUAGAAGUAGUCACGCCAGUGAUUAUGGAGUCGACCUUGAAAUACCACCCUUUAACGUUUGAUGUUCUAACGAAGAUUACGAAACGUGGUCUCGGACAGUGUCUGGUGGGUAGUUUGACUGGGGCGGUCUCCUCCCAAAGAGUAACGGAGGAGCACGAAGGUUUGCUAAUGACGGUCGGACAUCGUCAGGUUAGUGCAAUGGUAUAAGCAAGCUUAACUGCGAGACAGACAAGUCGAGCAGGUACGAAAGUAGGUCAUAGUGAUCCGGUGGUUCUGAAUGGAAGGGCCAUCGCUCAACGGAUAAAAGGUACU
This 1212-nucleotide ribosomal RNA is filed under the name human gut metagenome. Its description in RNAcentral is "bacterial LSU rRNA". It matches the Rfam family "Bacterial large subunit ribosomal RNA", at positions 1271 to 2467 of the family's 2925-position model. The record is from RNAcentral.